RNAcentral lists this unclassified non-coding RNA (207 nucleotides) under Hevea brasiliensis (rubber tree). Lineage: Eukaryota; Viridiplantae; Streptophyta; Magnoliopsida; Malpighiales; Euphorbiaceae. The record is from RNAcentral.
AUCCCCGGCACCGACACCUGCAUCAAGAUCAGCGGCUACAUGCGCGCCGAUGCGAACAUCAACGGCGGAGCCUACAACAAACCCGGCUGGGAUCAGACCGAAGGCCAAGGCACCAAAUCCCGCGACCGCGACUAUUUCACCACGCGUAUACGCACCGAACUUCAGAUCGAUACACGCACACAGACUGAAUAUGGCGUCCUGCGGACC